CAGAUUAGUAUUUGGUUUGUCCAUAAGGAUUUAGACUGGAAAUGGCAAUUAAAUCUGAUUUUUAAAGCUGAUGUGAGGACUGAUUAUAUGGUGUUGGAAGUAAGAACUGGCGAUCUUAUACUGCUAACAUAUUGGUUAGCAUCACAGCUUGUCCUUUUGCAUACUGUCCGGAGUAGAAUUUGGAUCUUUUUGAGGUGCCCUUGUGUGGUCAAUCCAAUGGACAAUAACAAUCAUGCAGACCAGAUAUAUAUUGCUUUUUUGUAUAAUAAAAUCUUUAAAUGAUAAUUCUGAAAGCCAAAUGAUUCAUUUUUUUAUGCUGUUACUUUUUCCAUUUACUGUAAAUUAACAAAUUUUUGUUUUUAAUGCUGUUAUUCGUUUGGCUCAAAUGAAGUAUACAGAUAUUUAGUUCCAGAUUUUGAUAUAUGUAUUCCUAUGCAAAUAAAAACUUGUAUUAUAGUUAUAAAAAUAGUUGAUUAAUACUUAUCAUUUUAUAAUUAUUAUUUGAUGAAAUGGAAAAUUAUAAUUGUAAAGGUUGACAAUUUGAAAGAAAAAAAUAGUCUUUUAUGAUUGACUGGUAGACAGAUCAACAGGUUGACAAGUCAACAGAUGCCUAUAUUAAGGAACCUCGCUUGUCAUGUUUUGGAACUUUGGUAAGGC
Long non-coding RNA from Mytilus trossulus (common blue mussel), 657 nucleotides. RefSeq lists it as uncharacterized. The record is from RefSeq and is a predicted model, not a curated record. The transcript has 4 exons. NCBI's taxonomy places the organism in Eukaryota, Metazoa, Mollusca, Bivalvia, Mytilida, Mytilidae.